GAUGAACGCUGGCGGCGUGCCUAAUACAUGCAAGUCGAGCGAACAGAUAAGGAGCUUGCUCCUUUGACGUUAGCGGCGGACGGGUGUGUAACACGUGGGUAACCUACCUAUAAGACUGGGAUAACUUCGGGAAACCGGAGCUAAUACCGGAUAAUAUUCCGAACCGCUUGGUUCGAUAGUGAAAGAUGGUUUUGCUAUCACUUAUAGAUGGACCCGCGCCGAAUUAGCUAGUUGGUAAGGUAACGGCUUACCAAGGCGACGAUACGUAGCCGACCUGAGAGGCCGAGCGGCGAGACGGGAACUGAGACACGGACCAGACUCCUACGAGGAGCAGCAGUAGGAUAACUACCACAAUGGGCGAAAGCCUGACGGAGCAACGCCGCGUGAGUGAUAAAGGUCUACGGAUCGUGAAACUCUGUUAUUAGGGAAAAACAUAUGUGUAAGAAACUGUGCACAUCAUGGCGGUACCUAAUCAGAAAGCCAAGGCUAACUACGUG
RNAcentral lists this ribosomal RNA (497 nucleotides) under uncultured bacterium. RNAcentral's name for it is "partial 16S ribosomal RNA". It matches the Rfam family "Bacterial small subunit ribosomal RNA", at positions 28 to 507 of the family's 1533-position model. The record is from RNAcentral.